This 29-nucleotide non-coding RNA is filed under the name Rattus norvegicus (Norway rat). The record is from RNAcentral. Lineage: Eukaryota; Metazoa; Chordata; Mammalia; Rodentia; Muridae.
UUACAUAGCAAUGGAAAAGCAAUGUGUGA